AGUUAAUUAGCUAAUAGCAUAUGCCUUGAAAGCACAAGAUAGAAGCUUAAAUCUUCUAUUAACUU
This 65-nucleotide transfer RNA is filed under the name Teredorus guangxiensis. RNAcentral's name for it is "tRNA-Ser". It matches the Rfam family "tRNA". Rfam says of the family: Transfer RNA (tRNA) molecules are approximately 80 nucleotides in length. Their secondary structure includes four short double-helical elements and three loops (D, anti-codon, and T loops). The record is from RNAcentral. Lineage: Eukaryota; Metazoa; Arthropoda; Insecta; Orthoptera; Tetrigidae.